RNA transcript from Panicum virgatum (switchgrass), 3555 nucleotides. It is a transcript of the gene named formin-like protein 20, with no coding region annotated. Lineage: Eukaryota; Viridiplantae; Streptophyta; Magnoliopsida; Poales; Poaceae. The record is from RefSeq and is a predicted model, not a curated record. The transcript has 2 exons.
UGAUUUUUUUGCCAUGAUUUACACAGGUUUUCACAAAGUUGUGGUUUGCACCAGAUAUAUUCCCAACUAAUUUAACCAUAUCCAUCACAAAACACCUUCUGUGGCCCACUUGUAAGGGUUGGGUGGAUGACAGGAUCAAAGUGGACCAAAGAAAAUUGAAUGAAGGAGAAUGAUUCUGCCUCAUAUGAAAUUAUUUUGUCUCCGCGAUCUUCUUUACCCGCCCGAUGUACCCACCCUCGCGAUUGCAUUAACCUCCAGUCCGUCCUGCAUGAAUCCGCGAUCUUGUUCCCAUCUCUUUCUCCCUCUCCCUCUGUUUCUUUCCUUCUUCGCAUCCCCUCCCAGCGGGCGUGGCGUCCACCUCCCGCCGCCACUCGCGGGUGAGCCACGCGUCCGGCGACCGGACGACCGCUUGAGCGUGGGUCCUUUUGCGUCCCGGCUAUCGCGGCCCGGGCGGCGGGGUCUGCGGCCCCCUGCCCCACCGCCGACUACGGCGAAUUCCACGCUCAGGAGCCAGAGCCCGAGCGCGACAACGCCGAGGAGCAGGACGACACUCUUGAAGGACGCGCCUCGCCAGGAUCAUGCCUCCCCUCGUAGGAUCUCCGCCGCCCACUCGCCCCAACGGCCGCCGCCGCACCCCGUCGGCGACGGCGCGCGUGAAGGACACUUCCUCGCCAGAUUCAUGCCUCCCCUCGCAGGAUCUCCGCCGCCCACUUGCCCCACGGCCGCCGCCGCACCCCGUCCUCGCUGUCGCUUCUCGACCCAGUCCCCGCCACGGCAAGGAGCUCGCACCCGCCGGCGCCCUCGCCUCCCCGCUGGCGUUGGGCGGACUAGGGUCCAUCGCUCGUACAAUAAGCAGCUGCCUCCGGCCUCCUUGGCAUGCUGCGGGUGCCGCCCCUGCCUGUUCGCGCCUCCUCAUCGGCGUUGCGUGGGGCCACACUCCAGCGAGGACGUGGCCGCCGGCGGCCUCCCUGGCAGGCCGCGGGCGCCACCCCCGCUACACGGCCGCCUUCCACUCCGACAUUCCAGCCAGGAAGUGGAUUCUCACAACCCUGAUGGACACAGCCACUAAGCAUCAUAGCCACCAUGAAGCAGCAGUUGGGGACAAAACUGGAAGGAGAUGCUAAGUAGACUAGGAUGUUUGAACUUUAUUGACAGGAUCUCUAUAGGUAACUUGCUUGCAUAUGUGGAAGCCUCUGUGCUAACAAUUUGUUCGGCAAUAUGCCAAUGUAUGCGAUGUGCUCAUCUUUAGUUGGCAAACACGGACAUUUGCUUUGAAAAAAUAGUGCAAUUAGUUUAUUAGGAUUGACAACACUGUGGCUAGAUAGUCCAACUGGAACAUGUAGUAGCACUUGACAUGCAUAAUAAAAUACAAAUGCAUAAACUGUUGUGCAACUGACUAGCUUAUAUGGUCUGGGAGUCUAAAUUUACUCCAGAUCAAUGCACAUGCUUUUAUUCAGGGCAUGUGUUAAAAUGUAAAACCAGUGAGGCCUUAAAUUGUACAUGUAUUAUACAUAUUGUUAUAAGACAUUAGUAAUCUAGAGUAGGAUGUUAACCUUGUUGUUCCCGUAUGUAACAUAUAUAAAGUUGACCAUAGUUCAAAAAAACCUUAUGGCUUACGUUUGGUCAAGUUCUACUAAUACAAGUUCGAUAUGUACAUUGUUUUGUAUUUUCUACAGUUUUAUGGUGUAUGUUUGGUGAAGAGGAGAUCCAGGAAGGCUUGAAUCUGGAGGCUGAAUUUUUGCUAUGAUUAUACAAGAAAGGUACUCAGGACUAAACCCGCAGGGUACCUGACAACUAAUUGAUUUGUUCAUGGUGCACUAUGCAUAGGAAGCUCAUAUUUAUCUUAUACAAUACUAUAUAGUUUUAAGCUAUUCGAAAAUGUGCUUCUUUGUUUCUCUGCACUAUUCAGUUAGCCCCUAUAUGUUAAAACUGAAUUUGUUCCUCUUUAUUAUUCAGUUAGCAUUGCUCUGGCAUUAUGUGAAAUCCAGUAUCUUUGUCUAUUAAUUUUUUCCUCUUCCAGAAUAUUUCUAUGGUAUUGGAAAAGUUUGGUAAUAACAUCAUAUUUUUCAAGGACUUGUUGAUCUGUUGAGUGCUUGAGGGUGAGCAAAGAUCAUUUUGCCUUUUAUCUGAUCUGGGCCAUUCUAAAAUAUUGAUUUUGUUGUCAUGUGAAUAUUGAAGUGUUCUGAUAUAAGUGUCAUUGCUACUGAGUUCCGACAUUUGAAGAUGCCAAGAAGGAUAAAUUAACGAUUUUGAAGCUAUGGUACUUAUUGUGAAUGGAGAAAACGACACGGAUUGAUGACAUCAUUGGGGAUCCCAUUGCAUUGGAUAGGUAUAAUUCCCUGCAUAUGCAUUUUUUAUAACACUAUACUGCUCUACUUGUCAUUGAAAGCAGUGAUAAUACUUUUUUUAGCUUGCGAUCUCCUAAAGAAUGUUUCUUAUUGUUUUAAAUCUUGUCAAGCUAACACACUGAGUAAUAAUAUUGAGUAACAUAUCAAGUAAUUACCUUAUAUUUGAUUGUGGAGUAAGUAAUUCAUUUAGCUCCGAAUGUCUGAAAUAGAACAAGGUAACCACAGGAUAAACAUGAUAUAAGAAAUAGAUCAUACACUACCGGAAACCCAAUUGUUGCCGAGUGCCGGACGCUUUGCCGAGUGCCAAAAGUCGAGCACUCGGCAAACAAGGCAUAUACCGAGUGUUAUUCAAAAGACACUCGGCAUAGUAAAGACACUCGGCAAAUUAGAUGUUUGCCGAGUGCUGGCUCACAAACACACGGUAAACUUUACUUUUACUGUGUGCUGCACUCCAGGCACACGGCAAACUUAAGUUUUGCCGAGUGCUGGCAUUGUUGCACUCGGCAAAGAGGGCACAUGCCCGCCAUGUGACCCAACGCCGUGCCGACGCCGUUACGGACGUAGUAUUUGCCGAGUGCCUUGCCUCUGGCACUAGGCAAAGUACGCCUUUGCCGAGUGGCAAAUUCAUGGCACUCGGCAUAGCAUACUUUUGCCGAGUGUCAGGCUCAUGGCACUCGGCAAAAUUUAAAAAACUUCUUCUACCUUCCAAACUUUUUGUUCUGUUAUUGUACUAGUUGAGGUAAAACAUAUCGAAAUUUGAUAUAUUUCUCUAUAAAUUACGUAUAUCUUAUUAAUUUGUUUCAUUAAAAUGCUAUUUUUGGAUAAUUCAAACUGGAGCCGCAAGUGAUUCGAAUAAUAUAGUAUAAUGAAUGGAAAAAUUAUAUUCAUGUUAUUUAGUCCAAUUUGAGACAUUGUCAAUCAAUUGAAAGGAAAAUUCGAACAUCUAGAUCACGAAACGGGACAGAAUAAGAUGUUGACGAAUAGAUUUUAAAUUUUACAAAAAUCAAAAGUAGUCGGAAAUCCAUAAAAUUUGUUAUGAUAUCAUGAUAACAUACAGGGAGUCUACAGAAAAAAAAUUGAGAAGGUUUUGCAAAAGUUGUCACGUAUAUCUUUUACGAAACGAAGUAUCUCCGAAGAAGUUUCAUAGAACUGAGAAGUAUUCUUUGAGAUUAUGAGUCAGAGUGACGUUCGAAUUGGGGUUUCACUU